AGAACGAACGCUGGCGGCAGGCUUAACACAUGCAAGUCGAGCGCCGUAGCAAUACGGAGCGGCAGACGGGUGAGUAACGCGUGGGAACAUACCCUUCGGUUCGGAAUAAUUCAGGGAAACUUGGACUAAUACCGGAUACGGACGAGAGUCGAAAGAUUUAUCGCCGAAGGAUUGGCCCGCGUUCGAUUAGCUAGUUGGUGUGGUAACGGCGCACCAAGGCGACGAUCGAUAGCUGGUCUGAGAGGAUGAUCAGCCACAUUGGGACUGAGACACGGCCCAAACUCCUACGGGAGGCAGCAGUGGGGAAUAUUGGACAAUGGGCGCAAGCCUGAUCCAGCCAUGCCGCGUGAGUGAUGACGGCCUUAGGGUUGUAAAGCUCUUUCGCUAGGGACGAUAAUGACGGUACCUAGACAAGACGCCCCGGCUAACUUCGUGCCAGCAGCCGC
RNAcentral lists this ribosomal RNA (446 nucleotides) under uncultured bacterium. RNAcentral describes it as "SSU rRNA". It matches the Rfam family "Bacterial small subunit ribosomal RNA", at positions 26 to 518 of the family's 1533-position model. The record is from RNAcentral.